AUGACGCUGACAGAAUGUUAAACACAUACAAGUCAACACAAAUUGGGUAUUAAAUUAAAUUUGGGUGGCGGACGGGUGAGUAACGCGUAAAGAACUUGCCUCACAGCUAGGGACAACAUUUGGAAACGAAUGCUAAUACCUAAUAUUAUGAUAAUAGGGCAUCCUAUAAUUAUGAAAGCUAUAAGCGCUGUGAGAGAGCUUUGCGUCCCAUUAGCUAGUUGGAGAGGUAACUGCUCACCGAGGCGAUGAUGGGUAGCCGGCCUGAGAGGGUGAUCGGCCACAAGGGGACUGAGACACGGCCCUUACUCCUACGGGAGGCAGCAGUGGGGAAUAUUGGACAAUGGACCAAGAGUCUGAUCCAGCAAUUCUGUGUGCACGAUGAAGUUUUUCGGAAUGUAAAGUGCUUUCAGUUGGGAAGAAAGAAAUGACGGUACCAACAGGAGAAGUGACGGCUAAAUACGUGCCAGCAGCCGCGGUAAUACGUAUGUCACGAGCGUUAUCCGGAUUUAUUGGGCGUAAAGCGCGUCUAGGUGGUUAUGUAAGUCUGAUGUGAAAAUGCAGGGCUCAACUCUGUAUUGCGUUGGAAACUGUAUAACUAGAGUACUGGAGAGGUAAGCGGAACUACAAGUGUAGAGGUGAAAUUCGUAGAUAUUUGUAGGAAUGCCGAUGGGGAAGCCAGCUUACUGGACAGAUACUGACGCUGAAGCGCGAAAGCGUGGGUAGCAAACAGG
This 731-nucleotide ribosomal RNA is filed under the name uncultured Fusobacterium sp. Its description in RNAcentral is "bacterial SSU rRNA". It matches the Rfam family "Bacterial small subunit ribosomal RNA", at positions 29 to 776 of the family's 1533-position model. Lineage: Bacteria; Fusobacteriati; Fusobacteriota; Fusobacteriia; Fusobacteriales; Fusobacteriaceae. The record is from RNAcentral.